AAUUUCCAUUUCCAUUUAUUUUAUUAAUUAAAAAUCUUUUUUAAUUAAUUAACCAUACAAUUUUUUUUAAUUGCUUUCUUCUCCAUAGUUUCUUUUUUCGGUCCUUACUUCUUCCCCAUCUUUUCUUCCCAUCCCCGGCACCAUCGCCUAUGCUUGAUCAACAUUUUUGACCACCGAAACGAAGCUCUCUUCACCGCUUUCAACUUCCAUUUUAAGGGCUCAAAUCUGUCCGACCCAAUAAAUAAAACAACAAAACAAACAAAAUAAUAACUAAAGUGCAAAUUACAAGCCCAAUUUACCCUGAGCCAAAUAUGCUAACAUAAAAAACCCUAAAAGCCCAAAGCCCAAAACCUAAAAACUAAACAAGAAACCCUAGCCACCUCUAAGCCUCCGGCUGUUGCCGCUCCUCUGCCUUGGUGUAACAUGUAACACCCCUUACCCGUAUUCGACGUUGGAAUAGGGUACGAGGCAUUACCGAAACAUACACUUAUAAACGUAUUAAAUCGAGUCAUAAAAUUUCAUUAAUUAUUAAAACUUUCAAAUUAUUAACAUGCCUUUAUAAUUCUUCAAAAUAUAAAUAAUGCAACAUUUCCUGCCAACCACAAUCGAGCUUCCGAUAAUCAUUUCAAUACAUCUAAUAAUUGUACAUAUUACCAAUAAUAAUUCAAUUACGAUAAUAAAUCACAUAUCUAUAUAAUAUUCAUUACCAAAUAGCAUUCACUGCAAUUAAAAUUAUAAAAAAUAUAGUUCAUACGAACUUAACAGGCUAAAUUGCAGAAAUACCAAAAUUCAGGGACAUUUUGAAAAAUUUCUAUUUUUCUCGAAUUUCCACCCAAUCUUGAUCUAAAUUAAUAUUUCAUUCAAUUUACUAAUUUAAAUAAUAAAACAAUUCACUUCAUGCAAUUUGGUUACUUUUUGACAUUUUUAUAAAUUUACCCAUAAAGUUUCACAUUUGUUCAAUUUAGUCCCUGAACCUAAAACAUGUAAGUUGGUCAUUUUUAAUGAAAACUCAUGCUAGUUGAAUAAUCAUAUAUUUUCCUCCUCCUCCUCUCCAUUCCACAUCCUUAAUGUAUAUAACAUGCUUAUAGGUAACAUUAUCUAUAAUUUCACCAUUUACUUAUAUAUUCAUGGAAAGCUGUCCACUUGAGGCAUAGUCACUAAAUUAUUUAUAUCUUGAGCUACAGAACUUAAAAUUAAGAUCCGUUAAUUUUAUCUGAAACUAGACUCACAUAUCUUCUUACCAUAAAAUUUUCAGAAUUUUUGGUUUAUCCAAUAAGUAGAGUUUAUUCUUUAAAGUCAUCCCUGUUCUGCUGUCUGACAGUUCUGACCCUUCUUCACUAAAAAUUAAUUAUCUCCUCGUACAGAAUUCAAAUGAUGUUACCAUUUGUUUCUAUUAAAAAUAGACUCAUUAAUAAUUUAAAAAUAUAAAUUUAAUCCUCUAAUUAUUUUUCUCCAAUUUUUUAUAAUUUUCCAAAGUCAGUACAGGGGAACCCGAAUUCAUUCUGACCUAGUCUCACAAAAGUCAUUAUAUCUCAUGAUUUACAAUUCCAUUACUUACACCGUUUCUUCUAUGAAAAACUAGACUCAAUAAUAUUUAAUUCCAUAUUUUUCUCAUCCUCUAAUUCAAUUUCCACGAUUUAUGGUAAUUUUUAAAAGUUAACCUACUGCUGCUGUCCAAAACUGUUUUAGUGCAAAAUGGUGAUUACUAAAUUUAUAACACCCUUAUUCCCUUUCUCUAUAGUAAUUCCCAUCACUUUCUCUUAUUUUUCUUCACUAACAUAUCAAGAACAUAUAACCUUAUAUAAUAAAACCCUACAUUAACAUCAAUUUCAUACUUUUUCAAUAACAUCAAACUCAAAAAUAUAUUGAAAUAUUGAUGUUCUUACCUUGCUCUAUUGAUUUCAAUCUUUAGCUUGAUUUUCUCUCUCCUCCAGCCUCUAUUUCUUGAAUCUAACUUGACAUUCUAGCUCCCCAUAGUCUCCUUAUCAAUUUUCUCUCUUGGUGAUUAUGGAAAUUUCUUUGAAUUCUAAGUGAAAAUGGUGGAUUUUUGGUAAAAAGGACCAAAUUGUGAAGAAAAG
This 2078-nucleotide long non-coding RNA is filed under the name Gossypium barbadense (sea-island cotton). RNAcentral describes it as "long non-coding RNA (GBAR_LNC020250)". Lineage: Eukaryota; Viridiplantae; Streptophyta; Magnoliopsida; Malvales; Malvaceae. The record is from RNAcentral.